UGAGUGCCCUGAAAAAUAAAAAAAUAAUCGCAAUGGAUUAUAAUGCCACAAAAGGAGGGUGGACCAUUUAGACAAGCUGGUGACUGGCUACAGCUGCGAACAUUGGGUGAAUAACAGCAUGAACACUACACAAGGGUUAUAGGGCCUCUCCACUGAAGCGCUUCCCUACCUGGCUCCACUCUUCUCCACCUGCUUUUUCUCUGGUUAGUUAUAGGGCCUCUCCACCGAAGCGCUUCCCGACCUAGCCUCCACUCUUCUGCCAUCGCAUGGACCCCCGCCGUCAAUCUCAUUUAGGUUUCCGCUCUCUUUCUUUUGCUCUGCUGGCGAGGAUUGUAUUUCACUUGUUUUUGACUGUGGGUUCUAGUGCUAGCUGGUUUAGAGUAGGCUAGUUGGGCUCUGGCUUGCUGCUUUGCUAACCAUGGGUGUUUCUGUGUGGAUUCAUCUGUAAUUUUAUUUGAUCUAAAUUGCUGUCAUGCACCUGCCCACGGGCUCCUCUCUGUUCCUCCUGUUUGCUCUCUGCCCUGGAAUAGUAUGGAUUCCCACUCCCUGUUUUAUCCCGACCAAAUACUACUCCCCCCUGAUUUUCGUCGCAUGAAUAAUAACUAUCGGCUCCGGCUCUCCUAUGAUGUCCUUAUCCCGCCCACUCAUCGGGCAUCCUACGUAGACGCUGCUACCUGCAUCAUAGCUCACGUCGCAACCGGUCUGUCAACUAUACUACUGGUAGCAACAUUAACUCUCUCUCGUCUCACUCACACCCUACUUCCAAUCCAUCUUGUACAGUAAACCAUGACUGCCUACGUCCCCUUCAACCUACUGUACCACUAUCCAUAAACUCACCUCUGUUUCACAAUACUAACUUUGCUCGCCUCAACACUCGAUCAAUGAACAAAGCCCCCUUGCUCCAUGAACUAAUAUCUGACAACAAGCUAGACUUCCUCCUCCUAACUGAAACUUGGCAACAACCCAGUGAUUUAUUUUCUCUUAACCAAGCUACUCCUGCUGGUUAUGGCUACCUGUGUCACCCCCACUCCACCAGCCGUGGUGGCGCCCUUGCUCUACUGUAUACUGUAACUGUAAAUCAAAAUAGCUGAACUCUGUCCCUACUAUCUCAUUUGAAUACAUUGCUUACAAAUCAUCCUGCUCUAUUACCACUAUCCUUGUGUACUGUCUUCCUAAAGCUAAUGAAUCAUUCCUGUCUGGACUACUCACCAUUGCUGUCCCACUCUCCCCCUGCUUGGAGAUGAUUCAUAUUUACAUGGACUCAUCUCACUCAAAACCUGCCUCUUUCAUUGCUGUUCUGGACUGUUAAUAUUACCCAACUUGUCAGUUUUCCCGAUCACAUCAAGGGACACAUACCAGAUCUCAUCUUCUCUGUUGGCCUCAACUUAACUAAUAUUUCCCCCUCUCUGUUCCCACUAUCUGACCACAAGAUACUUAAUUUCUCCCCUCAUACUCACCCCACAACACUGACAAAUGCCUUAUCUCCUUCCAUAACAUCAAAGCUGUUGGCCUCCUCCAACUCUGAUGCCAAUUGCGCUGCCCUGCCCCUUGACCACACCCCCCAACACACCUGGUGAACUAUCUGCUCAAUUCAAACACUGCUCUGUCUCCCUCAACUCUCUGGACCCAAUCCAAACUAAACCUGUUUCCUUCUCCUCCCCCUGGUUUACCCCUGAGCUCUGCGCCCUGAAGCAAGCUGGCUGCCAACUGGAGCGCCUGAGCUGGAAGUCUGGGCUCACUGCCCACGCUGAGGCCUACAAACUACCUCUCCACCAACAGAUGCUGCCAGGUCUGCCUACUUCUCAAACAUCAUUCAAUAAGAACUCCCAGACUGUUCUCGACUGUCAGCAAACCACUUCAGCCCAUGAUGACACCUUCUCUACUUCCUCCACUGAACUCUGCAACUCCUUCCUUCAGUUUUUCAAGGACAAGUUCACCCAAAUAAACUCAUCACUGACUGAUAAUUCUCCCUCAGCCGCACCUUCCCCUGUUAACCUCCCAACCGUCACCCCUGAAACCCGUCUCAGAAUUCGCCCCAUCUCAAAACUCAUGUCAUCCAAGACUACAACUUGCUCCCUGGAUCCUCUCCACUUUUCUCAUCAAAGUCUGCUCGCUGUCCAUAUAUCGUACACAUCUCUAAUCUCUCCCUUGCCCACGGAACUGUCCCCUCCAACUGCAAAACAGCUGCUAUCACCACCAUCUUAAAAAUGCUAGGGCUAGACCCUACCAUCCUCAAUAACUUCCACCCCAUUACCAACCUUUCCUUCCUUGCCAAGACUCUGGAACGGACUGUUGCCUCUUAAUUACAAACCCACCUGCUAAUCAUCAACCUAUUCAGAGCCCUCCCAUUCUGGUUUCCACUCCCUCCACAGUACUGAAACUGCAAUCCUCAAAGUUGUCAAUGACCACCUCUGCUGAUGCCCUCAACAUCCUGAUUCUCCUCGACCUGAGUGUGGUUUUUGACACAAUGAGCCAUCAAAUCCUCCUCACUGGGCUUGAGGGUCUGGGUGUUGAGAGCACCACAUUCUCCUGGCUACAAUCAUACCUCACAAAUUGGACCCACUACAUCUCCCUCAAUGACCACAUGUCAGACUCAGCUGCUCUUCAUUUACAUCCUCCCCCUUGGUCAGAUUCUCUGUCACUUCAACCUUGACUUCCACUGCUAUGCCGAUGACGCCCAGAUCUACCUCGUCACCAUAUCCCACCUCUGACCCUCAUUGAAUCGUGCCUCUGCAGUAAAAAAUGAAUGCAAAGAAACUUCAAGGUCAACAGUGAUAAACAGAACUCCUCCUCAUAGGCACCAAAUCUAACCUCACCAAAGCUGGCAACCUUAUCAUUGAUGACACCACUGUCUCUCCUUCCCUCCCCUGGGCACACAACCUUGGUGUCAUCCUGCUUGAAAAUAUGGAGAGGUACUCAGUAAUGUGUUAUGUUUGGGACAAAUCCACUAAAACACUUUGUUUUCAGGACAAAAAGUUCAUUGCUUUGCCAAUUUUUUUUUGCAGUAUCACUUUAGUGUGCCUUGUUGCAAACAGGAUGCAUGUUUUUGAGAACCCCCUCUCAAAUAAUCUGUACAAGUUUCCUUUUCACUCUGUCAAUUAGGUUAGUAUUGUGGAGUUACUACAAUGUUGUUUAUCCAUUUGAUCUUAUCACAGCCAUUAAACUCUGUAACUCUCUGUAAAGUCA
Long non-coding RNA from Oncorhynchus tshawytscha (Chinook salmon), 3186 nucleotides. RefSeq lists it as uncharacterized. The transcript has 2 exons. The record is from RefSeq and is a predicted model, not a curated record. NCBI's taxonomy places the organism in Eukaryota, Metazoa, Chordata, Actinopteri, Salmoniformes, Salmonidae.